This 451-nucleotide long non-coding RNA is filed under the name Ananas comosus (pineapple). RNAcentral's name for it is "long non-coding RNA (ACOM_LNC038836)". The record is from RNAcentral. Lineage: Eukaryota; Viridiplantae; Streptophyta; Magnoliopsida; Poales; Bromeliaceae.
UAACUCGAAUACCAUGAAGUAAAAUGAUACCUGCGACCACAUUCUCGGCUGCCGCUGCCUCCUCAGUCUGGGCCGCAUACAUACGCCCGCUCGGGGCCUGUCGUGACCCCUCCGCCUGCCGCUGAACUGGCGGCCGUCCUGCCUGGUGAUGCGCAGAAGAUGUCCCCUGACUGGGGCCUGGCGAUGCUGGUGCAGAUGCCGAAGAUGGCGCUGGCGCUGAACCCCUCGGGCAGUCCGACUGGAAGUGGCCCUCCUGGCCACACAAGAAGCACCUGCCCCGGCUGCGUGAACACUGCCGCGGGUAGUGAGGACCGCCACAGAUCACGCAACAGGGAGCCUGGCGACGAUCGGGUCCUCCUCGCUGAGUAGACUGGCCACGUCCUCGCGACUGGCUCCGGCUGCUGGGAUGCCUUGGCGGCCUCCGUGAGUGCGUCUGGCUCGCACCCUCAGC